AGAUUAAGCCAUGCAUGUCUAAGUACAUACCUUAGCACGGUGAAACCGCGAAUGGCUCAUUAAAUCAGUUAUGGUUCCUUAGAUCGUUCAUACUACAUGGAUAACUGUGGUAAUUCUAGAGCUAAUACAUGCGAAAAGCUCCGACCGUAUGGGAAGAGCGCUUUUAUUAUACCAAAACCAAUGGGGUCGCAAGAUCCCUUUGUAUGGUGACUCUGGAUAACUUUGUGCUGAUCGCAUGGCCUAGAGCCGGCGACGUAUCUUUCAAGUGUCUGCCCUAUCAACUUUCGAUGGUAAGCGAUUUGCCUACCAUGGUUGUAACGGGUAACGGGGAAUCAGGGUUCGAUUCCGGAGAGGGAGCAUGAGAAACGGCUACCACAUCUACGGAAGGCAGCAGGCGCGCAAAUUACCCACUCCUAGAACGGGGAGGUAGUGACGAAAAAUAACAAUACCGGACUCAAUGAGGCUCGGUAAUUGAAAUGAGUACAGUUUAAAACCCUUAACGAGGAUCUAUU
RNAcentral lists this ribosomal RNA (512 nucleotides) under uncultured eukaryote. Its description in RNAcentral is "SSU rRNA". It matches the Rfam family "Eukaryotic small subunit ribosomal RNA", at positions 41 to 549 of the family's 1831-position model. The record is from RNAcentral.